ACCCUGGGUCACAAUCCAUCCCUGUGGUGUAGGUAGCAGGGCCCCUUGAUUGACAGACUCAAGAAUCAUAUGGAAUUGGAGAGGGGCCGUCCUCUGCAGUAAAGGAUGCCAGACAAACCAAAAAAGUGGCAGAUGCCCAUUACAGCACAGAAUAUAUUCAGAUAAUUUUAUGAAAUUCAUGUAUAUCAAGUCUUUGGCUGUUCCUGCUGCAUGCUAUAAACCUUAUCUGUCCCAAAUGGAAAAGCACUUGGCAGUUGAUUAAUUCAAUCCCUUCUUCCCUGGCAUAGCACGACUUCAUUUUUGCAUUGCUCAGUUACAAAUCUGUCUUCUGCCUUUCCUGGAACUGCUAAUACAUUACAGUCUGUAUCCAAGUCAUACAAGGUCUCCUAUAUUUGUUUUGAAUGUAGAAUCAUCACCAUGUUUUUCUAGAACUCUUUUUUCCUAUAGAUAUAUAUUCUCUGGGAUAAAUUGUUUCAUAGUUGAGCCAAAUUCCAGGGGAUCCACUAAAUUACUAUUGAAGAGCUGCCCCUGUAGGAUCAUCCCCGUUCAUGUAAUAAGUUGGAUCCAGUGCAUAAUCAUACCAUUGCUGCUGCUAAGUCACUUCAGUCAUGUCCGACUCUGUGCGACCCCAUAGAUGGCAGCCCAACAGGCUCCCCCGUCCCUGGGAUUCUCCAGGCAAAAACACUGGAGUGGGUUGCCAUUUCCUUCUCCAAUGCAUGAAAGUGAAAAGUGAAAGUGAAGUCACUCAGUCAUGUCUGACUCUUCACGACCCCAUGGACGCUUUUAAAAUGAAUACUAAUGGUGAGUUUUCUCCUUAAAAACUCAUUCCUGCUUUUAUCUUUUCCUGUCAGAAGAUGGUGGGCUGCUUCUAGUUUCCUGUCCUCUUGGAAUGAUGAUAAUGAUGACAGUUACAAUAGUAAAGUGACUACUAUUUAUUGAGUAAACUAGUGUUGGCAUUGUAUUAGAUAUUUAUGUACUGUAUCUCUCUUAAUAUCAACAACAUGUUAGAAGGCAAAUAUCCAAUCUCCAUUUUAUAUGGAGGCAAGCAGUCUCAAAGUGGUAACAUAGUCAAGGUCACACAGCCCGUAUGUGGAAUAUCUAAGCUUUGAAAUAACGUCAACCAAAUCCCCAAGGUCAUGCUCUUUACCCCUGUGGUUAGACAUGUGAAACCAUCACCUUUAUUUCCCUUUCCUUUCCUCCUUCUCUAUCUUUCUGACUUUGCUGUCUUUCUUCCAGCCUGCUCCAAUUUCUCAAACCC
This is a long non-coding RNA of Bos taurus (domestic cattle), 1258 nucleotides long. Lineage: Eukaryota; Metazoa; Chordata; Mammalia; Artiodactyla; Bovidae. The record is from Ensembl.